Molecule: ribosomal RNA, 2801 nt
Filed under: Escherichia coli
Lineage: Bacteria; Pseudomonadati; Pseudomonadota; Gammaproteobacteria; Enterobacterales; Enterobacteriaceae
Description: bacterial LSU rRNA
Rfam family: Bacterial large subunit ribosomal RNA
Source: RNAcentral
GGGUUGUGAGGUUAAGCGACUAAGCGUACACGGUGGAUGCCCUGGCAGUCAGAGGCGAUGAAGGACGUGCUAAUCUGCGAUAAGCGUCGGUAAGGUGAUAUGAACCGUUAUAACCGGCGAUUUCCGAAUGGGGAAACCCAGUGUGAUUCGUCACACUAUCAUUAACUGAAUCCAUAGGUUAAUGAGGCGAACCGGGGGAACUGAAACAUCUAAGUACCCCGAGGAAAAGAAAUCAACCGAGAUUCCCCCAGUAGCGGCGAGCGAACGGGGAGCAGCCCAGAGCCUGAAUCAGUGUGUGUGUUAGUGGAAGCGUCUGGAAAGGCGCGCGAUACAGGGUGACAGCCCCGUACACAAAAAUGCACAUGCUGUGAGCUCGAUGAGUAGGGCGGGACACGUGGUAUCCUGUCUGAAUAUGGGGGGACCAUCCUCCAAGGCUAAAUACUCCUGACUGACCGAUAGUGAACCAGUACCGUGAGGGAAAGGCGAAAAGAACCCCGGCGAGGGGAGUGAAAAAGAACCUGAAACCGUGUACGUACAAGCAGUGGGAGCACGCUUAGGCGUGUGACUGCGUACCUUUUGUAUAAUGGGUCAGCGACUUAUAUUCUGUAGCAAGGUUAACCGAAUAGGGGAGCCGAAGGGAAACCGAGUCUUAACUGGGCGUUAAGUUGCAGGGUAUAGACCCGAAACCCGGUGAUCUAGCCAUGGGCAGGUUGAAGGUUGGGUAACACUAACUGGAGGACCGAACCGACUAAUGUUGAAAAAUUAGCGGAUGACUUGUGGCUGGGGGUGAAAGGCCAAUCAAACCGGGAGAUAGCUGGUUCUCCCCGAAAGCUAUUUAGGUAGCGCCUCGUGAAUUCAUCUCCGGGGGUAGAGCACUGUUUCGGCAAGGGGGUCAUCCCGACUUACCAACCCGAUGCAAACUGCGAAUACCGGAGAAUGUUAUCACGGGAGACACACGGCGGGUGCUAACGUCCGUCGUGAAGAGGGAAACAACCCAGACCGCCAGCUAAGGUCCCAAAGUCAUGGUUAAGUGGGAAACGAUGUGGGAAGGCCCAGACAGCCAGGAUGUUGGCUUAGAAGCAGCCAUCAUUUAAAGAAAGCGUAAUAGCUCACUGGUCGAGUCGGCCUGCGCGGAAGAUGUAACGGGGCUAAACCAUGCACCGAAGCUGCGGCAGCGACACUGUGUGUUGUUGGGUAGGGGAGCGUUCUGUAAGCCUGCGAAGGUGUGCUGUGAGGCAUGCUGGAGGUAUCAGAAGUGCGAAUGCUGACAUAAGUAACGAUAAAGCGGGUGAAAAGCCCGCUCGCCGGAAGACCAAGGGUUCCUGUCCAACGUUAAUCGGGGCAGGGUGAGUCGACCCCUAAGGCGAGGCCGAAAGGCGUAGUCGAUGGGAAACAGGUUAAUAUUCCUGUACUUGGUGUUACUGCGAAGGGGGGACGGAGAAGGCUAUGUUGGCCGGGCGACGGUUGUCCCGGUUUAAGCGUGUAGGCUGGUUUUCCAGGCAAAUCCGGAAAAUCAAGGCUGAGGCGUGAUGACGAGGCACUACGGUGCUGAAGCAACAAAUGCCCUGCUUCCAGGAAAAGCCUCUAAGCAUCAGGUAACAUCAAAUCGUACCCCAAACCGACACAGGUGGUCAGGUAGAGAAUACCAAGGCGCUUGAGAGAACUCGGGUGAAGGAACUAGGCAAAAUGGUGCCGUAACUUCGGGAGAAGGCACGCUGAUACGUAGGUGAAGUCCCUCGCGGAUGGAGCUGAAAUCAGUCGAAGAUACCAGCUGGCUGCAACUGUUUAUUAAAAACACAGCACUGUGCAAACACGAAAGUGGACGUAUACGGUGUGACGCCUGCCCGGUGCCGGAAGGUUAAUUGAUGGGGUCAGCGCAAGCGAAGCUCUUGAUCGAAGCCCCGGUAAACGGCGGCCGUAACUAUAACGGUCCUAAGGUAGCGAAAUUCCUUGUCGGGUAAGUUCCGACCUGCACGAAUGGCGUAAUGAUGGCCAGGCUGUCUCCACCCGAGACUCAGUGAAAUUGAACUCGCUGUGAAGAUGCAGUGUACCCGCGGCAAGACGGAAAGACCCCGUGAACCUUUACUAUAGCUUGACACUGAACAUUGAGCCUUGAUGUGUAGGAUAGGUGGGAGGCUUUGAAGUGUGGACGCCAGUCUGCAUGGAGCCGACCUUGAAAUACCACCCUUUAAUGUUUGAUGUUCUAACGUUGACCCGUAAUCCGGGUUGCGGACAGUGUCUGGUGGGUAGUUUGACUGGGGCGGUCUCCUCCUAAAGAGUAACGGAGGAGCACGAAGGUUGGCUAAUCCUGGUCGGACAUCAGGAGGUUAGUGCAAUGGCAUAAGCCAGCUUGACUGCGAGCGUGACGGCGCGAGCAGGUGCGAAAGCAGGUCAUAGUGAUCCGGUGGUUCUGAAUGGAAGGGCCAUCGCUCAACGGAUAAAAGGUACUCCGGGGAUAACAGGCUGAUACCGCCCAAGAGUUCAUAUCGACGGCGGUGUUUGGCACCUCGAUGUCGGCUCAUCACAUCCUGGGGCUGAAGUAGGUCCCAAGGGUAUGGCUGUUCGCCAUUUAAAGUGGUACGCGAGCUGGGUUUAGAACGUCGUGAGACAGUUCGGUCCCUAUCUGCCGUGGGCGCUGGAGAACUGAGGGGGGCUGCUCCUAGUACGAGAGGACCGGAGUGGACGCAUCACUGGUGUUCGGGUUGUCAUGCCAAUGGCACUGCCCGGUAGCUAAAUGCGGAAGAGAUAAGUGCUGAAAGCAUCUAAGCACGAAACUUGCCCCGAGAUGAGUUCUCCCUGAC